Molecule: ribosomal RNA, 1248 nt
Filed under: Margattea multipunctata
Lineage: Eukaryota; Metazoa; Arthropoda; Insecta; Blattodea; Pseudophyllodromiidae
Description: 12S ribosomal RNA
Source: RNAcentral
UUUGCCUUAUAUAAAGUAUAAGUACCUCUGAAUCUUGGAGUUUUAGAGUAUAGAUAUAUUAUAUAUUUAUAAGUAUAAGAAUUCUUGGAGUUUUAGAGUAUAGAUAUAUUAUAUAUUUAUAAGUAUAAGAAUCAAUCUUAUUAGAUGUCAAUAAGAUGUAAUUAAUAAUAAAUUAAUAUUUACAAUCUUAUUAGAUGUCAAUAAGAUGUAAUUAAUAAUAAAUUAAUAUUUAAAUACCAAAUAUACUAAUCAUGAAUUAUAAUCUAUUUAAAUAUUUAUUGUAAGUGAAAAAGAUGAUUACAAUAUAAUUAAAUCAAUAAAAAGUAUUUUCAUCUAUACUUUAUUAGAGUAAUAAAGUAAUAAAGUAUAGAUGAAAAUAAUUUGGGAGGGGUUUUUUUUGAAGGUUGAAUGCAUUUUAAAUAUAUUAAGAAGUUUAUAGCCCUAGUGAAAGGGGUUAGGGAAGAGAGUUAUGAGUUUUAUUCUGGCUUGAUAAAUUUAUUAUGGUAUUAAAUUAUAUAUAUAUAUUUGUGGAUAAUAUUAAAUCUAAAUGGUUUAUUAGUAGGAAUGUAAUAUUUUGUAUUAGUUAUUGAAGAUAUUUUGAUCUAGUAAUUAUUAAUAAAUAUUGAUUAAGUAUGUGCCAGCAGUCGCGGUUAGACAUUGAAUAUAAAUAAAUUUUAUUAGUUAUGUAGUUUACAAAUUAUGUAAUUAUUAUAUAUAAUAGAGAUUAUUAGGUGGAAUUAAUAUUUUUAAGAUAAUAUAAUAAGUAUAAAAGGUGAUUCUAUGAAAUCAAAUAAUUAAACUAGGAUUAGAUACCCUAUUAUUGUUGAUUUAAAUGGGAAAACUGGAGUAGUAAUAGUUAUGGACUUGAAACUUAAAGAAUUUGGCGGUAUUUUAGUCUAUUUAGAGGAAUCUGUUCAGUAAUUGAUAGUCCACACUGUACCUUACUUAAUUUAUAUUUGUAUACCGUCGUUGUUGAGAAUUUUUGUAGAAGGAUUUUCUUAAUGUUUAAAAAGAAAAAAUUUCAGAUCAAGGUGCAGUUUAUAGUUAAGUUGAAAUGGAUUACAUUACUGUGUAUGUGUGGAUUGAGUUUGAAAUAAUAAAGGUGAAAUUGGAUUUAAUAGUAAUAGAUUUGAAGAUUGUUAUUAUGAAGAUAGCUCUAGAAUAUGUACACAUCGCCCGUCGCUCUCGUUAAUUAAGGUGAGAUAAGUCGUAACAUAGUAGGUGUACCGGAAGGUGUAGCUAGAUUGA